Molecule: unclassified non-coding RNA, 102 nt
Organism: Cebus imitator (Panamanian white-faced capuchin)
Lineage: Eukaryota; Metazoa; Chordata; Mammalia; Primates; Cebidae
Rfam family: Y RNA
About the family: Y RNAs are components of the Ro ribonucleoprotein particle (Ro RNP), in association with Ro60 and La proteins.
Source: Ensembl
GGCUGGUCUGAGUGCAGUGGUAUUUACAACUAAUUGAUCACAACAAGUUACAGAUUUAUUUGUUCUUUCUCCACUCCCGCUGCUUGAAUUGACUAGCCUAAA